AGUGAACGCUGGCGGUAUGCCUAACACAUGCAAGUCGAACGGCAGCACCCUACUAGCUUGCUACUACGGGUGGCAACUGGUGAACGAGUCAGGAAUACUCCGCAAUCUACUUCUUCGUGAGGGUUGACGACGGGAACCAUAAGCUAAUACCGCCCACGACCUACGGGUUAAAGCAGGGGAUUUUCGGAUGUUGCACGAUCUCAUGGCCUGAUGUCGGAUUAGCUAGUUGGCGGGGUAAAGGCCCACCAAGGCGACGACCCGUAGCUGGUCUGUGAGGAUGAUCAGCCACACUGGAACUGAGACACGGUCCAGACUCCUACGGGAGGCAGCGAUGGGGAAUAUUGGACAAUGGGCGCAAGCCUGAUCCAGCCAUACCGCGUGGGUGAAGAAGGCCUUCGGGUUGUAAGGCCCUUUUGUUGGGGAAGAAAAGCAGCAGGUUAAUACCCCGCUGUUCUGACGGUACCCAAAGAAUAAGCACCGGCUAACUUCGUG
This 492-nucleotide ribosomal RNA is filed under the name uncultured bacterium. Its description in RNAcentral is "partial 16S ribosomal RNA". It matches the Rfam family "Bacterial small subunit ribosomal RNA", at positions 29 to 507 of the family's 1533-position model. The record is from RNAcentral.